AAGUGGUACAGCUCUCUUAGAUUUAUCUAGCAGGUUUUCUGGUCCUCGCCAGAAGACUCCC
Molecule: small nuclear RNA, 61 nt
Organism: Otolemur garnettii (small-eared galago)
Lineage: Eukaryota; Metazoa; Chordata; Mammalia; Primates; Galagidae
Gene: U7
Rfam family: U7 small nuclear RNA
About the family: Animal histone pre-mRNAs are spliced by a different mechanism than nuclear pre-mRNAs and self-splicing introns. This processing involves the U7 snRNP, which contains only one RNA species: U7. The 5' end of U7 RNA is thought to base-pair to a conserved spacer element downstream of the cleavage site in histone pre-mRNA.
Source: Ensembl